GACGAACGCUGGCGGCGUGCUUAACACAUGCAAGUCGAACGGAAAGGCCCUGCUUUUGUGGGGUGCUCGAGUGGCGAACGGGUGAGUAACACGCGAGUAACCUGCCCUUGACUUUGGGAUAACUUCAGGAAACUGGGGCUAAUAUCGGAUAGGAGCUCCUGCUGCAUGGUGGGGGUUGGAAAGUUUCGGCGGUUGGGGAUGGACUCGCGGCUUAUCAGCUUGUUGGUGGGGUAGUGGCUUACCAAGGCUUUGACGGGUAGCCGGCCUGAGAGGGGGACCGGCCACAUUGGGACUGAGAUAGGGCCCAGACUGCAACGGGAGGCAACAGUGGAGAGUAUUACACAGUGGGCGGGAGCCAGAUGCGACAACGCCGCGUGCGGGAAGACGGGCUUCGGGUUGUGAACCAAUGUCGCCUUUGACGAGGCGUGAGUGACGGUAAUGGAUAAAGAAGCACCGGCUAACUACGUG
This 468-nucleotide ribosomal RNA is filed under the name uncultured bacterium. RNAcentral's name for it is "partial 16S ribosomal RNA". It matches the Rfam family "Bacterial small subunit ribosomal RNA", at positions 28 to 507 of the family's 1533-position model. The record is from RNAcentral.